This 879-nucleotide ribosomal RNA is filed under the name Triticum aestivum (bread wheat). RNAcentral's name for it is "partial small subunit ribosomal RNA". The record is from RNAcentral. Lineage: Eukaryota; Viridiplantae; Streptophyta; Magnoliopsida; Poales; Poaceae.
AUGGAAGACAUGGUUAGGAGUGUACCGAUUGGCGAGAAGCUCUUCAUAGGAGGAGACCUCAAUGGCCACGUGGGUACAUCUAACAUAGGUUUUGAAGGGGCACAUGGGGGCUUUGGCUAUGGCAUCAAGAAUCAAGAAGAUGUCUUAAGCUUUGCUCUAGCCUACGACAUGAUUGUAGCUAAGACGCUCUUUAGAAAGAGAGAAUCACAUCUGGUGACUUUUAGUAGUGGCCAACACUCUAGCCAGAUCGAUUUCAUCCUCUCGAGAAGAGAAGAUAGGCGUGCGCGCCUGGACUGUAAGGUGAUACCUGGAGAGAGUGGUGUACCCCAGCAUAAGCUGGUGGUUGCUGACUUCCGCUUUCCGAUUCUUGUCCAGCAGGAUAAGCGUGCCAAAGUCGCUACAAUGAAGUGGUGGAAGCUCAAGGGGGAGGUAGCUCAGGCGUUCAAGGAGAGGGUCAUUAGGGAGGGCCCUUGGGAGGAAGGAGGGGACGCGGACAAUGUGUGGAUGAAGAUGGCGACUUGCAUUCGUAAGGUGGCCUCGGAGGAGUUUGGAGUGUCCAGGGGACGGAGAAGAGAAGAUAAGGAUACCUGGUGGUGGAAUGAUGAUGUCCAGAAGGCGAUUAAAGAGAAGAAAGAUUGCUUUAGACGCCUAUACCGGGAUAGGAGUGCAGUCAACAUAGAGAAGUACAAGAUGGCGAAGAAGGCCGCAAAGCGAGCUGUCAGUGAAGCAAGGGGUCGGGCAUAUGAGGACCUCGACCAACGGUUAGGCACGAAGGAAGGCGAAAGGGACUUCUAUAAGAUGGCCAAGAUCCGAGAUAGGAAGACGAGGAUAUUGGCCAAGUCAAAUGCAUCAAGGACGGAGCAGACCAACUGUUGGUGA